Molecule: ribosomal RNA, 656 nt
Filed under: uncultured bacterium
Lineage: Bacteria
Description: partial 16S ribosomal RNA
Rfam family: Bacterial small subunit ribosomal RNA
Source: RNAcentral
CCGUGAAUUCACUAGUGAUUAGAGUUUGAUCGUGGCUCAGGACGAACGCUGGCGGCGUGUUUAACACAUGCAAGUCAGGGGAGUCCUCAAGGGCAACCGACGAACGGGUGUGUAACACAUGAGCGACCCGCCUGACUGAGGGGGAUAGCCGGCCCAACGGCCGGGUAAUACUGCUUACGCUAAUCUAGAGGCAUCUCUUGGUGAGGAAACCUCCGGGGCACUCAGAGGGGCUCGCGGCCUAUCAGCUAGUUGGCGGGGUAAUGGCCCACCAAGGCGAUGACGGGUAGCUGGUCUGAGAGGAUGGCCAGCCACAUUGGGACUGAGAGACGGCCCAGACUCCUACGGGAGGCAGCAGUGGGGAAUCUUGCGCAAUGGCCGAAAGGCUGACGCAGCGACGCCGCGUGUGGGAGGAAGCUCUUCGGGGUGUAAACCACUGUUGCCCGGGACGAACGAGCAGCUUUUGCUGCUGUGACGGUACCGGGUGAGGAAGCACCGGCUAACUCUGUGCCAGCAGCCGCGGUAAUACAGAGGGUGCGAGCGUUGUCCGGAAUCACUGGGCGUAAAGGGCGCGUAGGCGGCUCGGUAAGGUUGCGGUGAAAGCCCGGGGCUCAACCCCGGGUCGGCCGUGGCAACUGCUGGGCUGGAUCACCUCCUUA